CGGACGGGUGAGUAACGCGUGGGUAACCUGCCUCAUACAGGGGGAUAACGGUUAGAAAUGACUGCUAAUACCGCAUAAGCCCACGGCUCGGCAUCGAGCAGAGGGAAAAGGAACAAUCCGCUUUGAGAUGGCCUCGCGUCCGAUUAGCUAGUUGGUGAGGUAACGGCCCACCAAGGCGACGAUCGGUAGCCGGACUGAGAGGUUGAACGGCCACAUUGGGACUGAGACACGGCCCAG
This 237-nucleotide ribosomal RNA is filed under the name uncultured bacterium. Its description in RNAcentral is "partial 16S ribosomal RNA". It matches the Rfam family "Bacterial small subunit ribosomal RNA", at positions 99 to 334 of the family's 1533-position model. The record is from RNAcentral.